GUUUACAAAAUCGCCCACACAUCUCCUUUUAUAAGGUUUACAACUUUGCAUUCUCAUAAACCUAAAUCUAAUGGAUAAUAUUAACUUGAGAUGAAUGGAAGGCUAGGAUGUAAGCUUGGUAUUGCAAUCUGUGCGAUGUCUUGUGAUUGGCUGAGGGCUGAUGAUGCUUCAUUGGUUGAUUUGAAUCUGUUCAAAGGGAAGGCUUGCCUCUGAUUGGAUAAUCCUAGGCGCCUCCUAAUGUAGCCUCUCUUGUGUCCAGAUUCAUGAUCAGUAUCCAGCCAAGGGACAGCUCACGCCAGCUCACUCCUUGCUGUGCCUUAUCCACAAGUGGUCCCAACAUUCAAACUCAGACAUUGGCGCCCUUGAUCAGAACAUACUCCUUUGCUUCCAUUUAAAUCCGCUCAUGAGUUUCUUCUUCCUUGGGGCGCAAGUUAGGCUGAUCACAAACCUUAGAGCAUGUACGGAUCAUGUCAUGUCCGUACAUAGACGCCCUAAGUUUGCACCAAGCCUAAGACUCACAAAUGGCCGAGUAUACACCUUUGGUACGUCCACCAUCCGUACUGAUUCAUACUAGGCC
This 577-nucleotide long non-coding RNA is filed under the name Brassica rapa (field mustard). RNAcentral's name for it is "long non-coding RNA (BRAP_LNC008890)". The record is from RNAcentral. Lineage: Eukaryota; Viridiplantae; Streptophyta; Magnoliopsida; Brassicales; Brassicaceae.